This 925-nucleotide long non-coding RNA is filed under the name Homo sapiens (human). RNAcentral describes it as "non-protein coding lnc-NDUFS6-5:2". The record is from RNAcentral. Lineage: Eukaryota; Metazoa; Chordata; Mammalia; Primates; Hominidae.
UGCCCGGCUCCGGGCCACUCCUGCAGGCCCUGCCUAGGGCAGCCGGCGGUGCCUGGAGGCGGGCUCGCCCCGGCUGCUCCACGCCCAGGCCGGUCCCUGGCAUUUCAGCCAGUGGGAGGGCGUCCCCGCCGCCCCCGUGCCUCUCCGCAGGGGCUGCGCCGCGUCCCCGGGCCUCUCCCUCCGCCGUGGCCUGGUCUGCCUGCUCCAGGGCGCAGCUGCGCCCGCUUCAGCGCCUCCCGGGUCUGCGUGGCCUGCUCGGCUCAGAGGCCUCCACCACGGUCCGCUCCCUGCCGGACGCCGCGCUGCUGUGGCCGCGGUGGUUCUGUGGCUGUGAGGGCCGUUUCUGUCCGUCCACACCGCCUUCCCUCUGCAGAUUUCCUCUGCAGAGGCCCGGAGUUACCAGCAAGGUCUGACGCAGCAGAGUGCAGAAACGGCCUCCCUGUCUGUCAAAGUGGCCUCCCGAGGACACCCAGCGAGGCCACCAGAUCAUCACGUGGAGUAUCGGUGGCCUUAUUAAAACAAAAACAACAACUCCACAGCCCGGCGAGCGAAAUUAUUGCAACACCCUGCAGCGUUCAGACUUGUCAUGGAUGACUCUAACAGGGCAGGUGUUACCACGUCAACUGGUCCAAAAAACAAAAUACCGGGUGCACAUCCCUUGAAGUUUCGGGUGUGUUUACUCUGAGGCACCGUGCACUGCAAAGCUGGGGAUUCACAGGCAAGUUUAGGUGAAUCCUCGGAACACGUGACUGAUGAAUUCCGGGCCCGUGUCGGGCUCUCAGCCAGCGCCUGCUCCGUGCGCCAGGGACGGAGUGCUGCCUUCUCGGGAGUCACACGGGACUGGCUUAGCCCUGGCGAGUGUUUCGCAUCAGGUGACAAGUUGUGCCGAGUGUCUGCCACCCUGCAUGCCCACACUGAAUCCGUG